Molecule: ribosomal RNA, 618 nt
Filed under: uncultured cyanobacterium
Lineage: Bacteria; Bacillati; Cyanobacteriota
Description: bacterial SSU rRNA
Rfam family: Bacterial small subunit ribosomal RNA
Source: RNAcentral
GAAUCUACCAAAAGGACCGGGACAACCACUGGAGACGGUGGCUAAUACCGGAUGAGCCGCAACGUAAAAAGGGAAACCUGCCUUUUGAAGAGCUCGCGUCUGAUUAGCUAGUUGGUAGGGUAAAAGCCUACCAAGGCAUCGAUCAGUAGCUGGUCUGAGAGGAUGACCAGCCACACUGGGACUGAGACACGGCCCAGACUCCUACGGGAGGCAGCAGUGGGGAAUUUUCCGCAAUGGGCGAAAGCCUGACGGAGCAAGACCGCGUGAGGGAAGAAGGCUCUUGGGUCGUAAACCUCUUUUAUCAGGGAAGAAAAAAAUGACGGUACCUGAAGAAUCAGCCUCGGCUAACUCCGUGCCAGCAGCCGCGGUAAUACGGAGGAGGCAAGCGUUAUCCGGAAUUAUUGGGCGUAAAGCGUCCGCAGGUGGCUUAUCAAGUCUGCUGUCAAAGAGUGGGGCUUAACCCCAUUAAGGCAGUGGAAACUGAGAAGCUAGAGUGCCGUAGGGGUAGAGGGAAUUCCCGGUGUAGCGGUGAAAUGCGUAGAGAUCGGGAAGAACAUCGGUGGCGAAAGCGCUCUACUGGACGGCAACUGACACUCAGGGACGAAAGCUAGGGGAGCG